CUGACGGAGCAACGCCGCGUGAGUGAUGAAGGCCCUUGGGUCGUAAAGCUCUUUUGUCAGGGACGAUAAUGACGGUACCUGAUGAAUAAGCAUCGGCUAACUCUGUGCCAGCAGCCGCGGUAAUACAGAGGAUGCAAGCGUUAUCCGGAAUUAUUGGGCGUAAAGCGUCCGCAGGUGGCUAUUCAAGUCUGCUGUCAAAGCCCGGGGCUUAACCCCAGAAAGGCAGUGGAAACUGAAAAGCUAGAGGGCGGUAGGGGCAGAGGGAAUUCCCAGUGUAGCGGUGAAAUGCGUAGAGAUUGGGAAGAACACCGGUGGCGAAAGCGCUCUGCUGGGCCGCAACUGACACUCAGGGACGAAAGCUAGGGGAGCG
RNAcentral lists this ribosomal RNA (370 nucleotides) under uncultured cyanobacterium. RNAcentral describes it as "bacterial SSU rRNA". It matches the Rfam family "Bacterial small subunit ribosomal RNA", at positions 383 to 770 of the family's 1533-position model. Lineage: Bacteria; Bacillati; Cyanobacteriota. The record is from RNAcentral.